CAAUCUACCGGAUCACCGCCAAGUCCAACUACACAGGCGCCGCCAGCCCCAACUACACAGGCACCGCCAAGUCCAACUACACAGGCGCCACCGGCUCCAACUACACAGGCGCCGCCAAGUCCAACUACACAGGCGCCUCCAGCUCCAACUACACAGGCGCCGCCAAGUCCAACUACACAGGCGCCGCCAAGUCCAACAACACAAGCACCACCAAGUCCAACCCCUGCCUCCACACCACCACCAGUAGCUACUACACCUCCACCCACGUCCUCUCCACCCCCGGCGGUUACAUCUCCGCCUCCAGUUACCGCUCCUCCCACUCCACCUGCUUCACCUCCACCAGUUGCUACUCCACCUCCAUCGAGUCCGCCGCCCCCUGCUAGUCCUCCACCACCUGCUGCUCCCACACCUGCACCACUAGCUUCUCCGCCAGCUACGGCACCAGUUGCGACUCCAACCACAUCUCCUGCGCUAUCUCCGUCUUUGACGAGUCCUGCGAAUCCAUUGAACGGAUCUCCGGCCCCGAGUAUCCUGGCUCUUUCUCCUGCUCCAAUAUCAGCCACUGAUCAGGUACACGCCCUCACUCACAACUAUAUUACUCACGCCAUGUAUUCCAAUCACAACUUGCGCCGAUCGUGCACUGUGCGGCACUUUGCAUUCUCGUAAAUCAUGGAACUAAUGUACCUAGAUUUAGUCCAGUUCUACUAGAGAUGUUACUGUUCUUGUUGAGGUGCGUGUCGUUCAAGGUUCACGUUCUGAUGUGUCCCUUGUGGGUUCUUUUUUCAUUAGAAGAUAAAAUUAAAAAUGCUCAGAAAACAUUUUUAAAUUUGCCCCUGUUUGAGCUUAUUUUUUUGGAUAUAUACUUAACUAAAACUAAUACUUAAAUCAAAUUAUUCUGCUUCUUUUAUAUUUAAG
This 915-nucleotide long non-coding RNA is filed under the name Olea europaea (common olive). RNAcentral describes it as "long non-coding RNA (OEUR_LNC009541)". Lineage: Eukaryota; Viridiplantae; Streptophyta; Magnoliopsida; Lamiales; Oleaceae. The record is from RNAcentral.